RNAcentral lists this non-coding RNA (30 nucleotides) under Homo sapiens (human). The record is from RNAcentral. Lineage: Eukaryota; Metazoa; Chordata; Mammalia; Primates; Hominidae.
UGGACAAGCUACCAUCUCCCUCUCUGCCCC